GCCGCUAGGGAGGAGAGAAAAAAUGACAUUCCGAAGCUGUUAGAGUUCUUUAGAGAGAUGAAGUCCCAAAAUCCUUAUUUCUACUAUGAGGUGCAGUUGGAUGAAGAUCACGUGAUAAAGAAUGUCUUUUGAAGUCAUGCAAGCCAACGUGCAGAAUAUAUGGAUUUUGGAGAUGUGGUAACUUUUGACACCACGUAUCGGACUAAUAUCUACUGCAUGCCGCUUGCAAUGUUUGUUGGCUCGAAUCACCAACUACAAAAUGUUAUUUUUGGACAAGCACUAUUGCAGAACGAGAAAACUGACACCUUCGGGUGGUUGUUCAAGGCAUUCAAAGAUUGCAUGUCAACUGGACCUGAGCUAAAAUGCAUCCUUACCGAUUAGGAUAGCUCUAUGGCAGCAGCUAUACCAAAGGUUUUUCUGAAGACUGUGCACCGGCUAUGCCGUUGGCACAUGCUGAAAAAAUACAAGGAGGAGCUACGGAAAUUGUACAAGGCCCAUGCUGAUUUGAAAGAUAAGCUCCAUACUGUGAUUAACCAUCCACUAACACCUUUAGAGUUUGAGGCUGCCUGGAUUGAGUUGAUUGAUGAGCAUGCCAUACGUUGUGGGUGCCAGCUUAUUUCAAAAAUUACUAUUGUGGACGGAUGAUAUCGACAUAGAGAAGCGAAAGCGUUAAUAACAUGGUGAAAAGUAGCGGAUUUGCGAGCCAUAUGACGAGUGUAAAUAAAUUUGCACGAAAAUUGUUGGAGGUCAUUCGGCACACCAAUCAUACGACAGCAAGAGAAACCCAUUGGU
Molecule: long non-coding RNA, 792 nt
Organism: Phragmites australis (common reed)
Lineage: Eukaryota; Viridiplantae; Streptophyta; Magnoliopsida; Poales; Poaceae
Exons: 3
Source: RefSeq, a predicted model, not a curated record